RNAcentral lists this unclassified non-coding RNA (345 nucleotides) under soil metagenome. RNAcentral's name for it is "partial contains 5.8S ribosomal RNA, internal transcribed spacer 2, and large subunit ribosomal RNA". The stretch from base 1 to 120 matches the Rfam family "5.8S ribosomal RNA", at positions 35 to 154 of the family's 154-position model. The record is from RNAcentral.
GAUGAAGAACGCAGCGAAAUGCGAUACGUAAUGUGAAUUGCAGAAUUCAGUGAAUCAUCGAGUCUUUGAACGCACAUUGCGCCCCCUGGUAUUCCGGGGGGCAUGCCUGUCCGAGCGUCAUUGCUGCCCUCAAGCACGACUUGUGUGUUGGGCCUCCGUCCUCCUCCCGGGGGACGGGCCCGAAAGGCAGCGGCGGCACCGCGUCCGGUCCUCGAGCGUAUGGGGCUUCGUCACCCGCUCUUGUAGGCCCGGCCGGCGCUUGCCGACACAUCAAUCUUUUUUCCAGGUUGACCUCGGAUCAGGUAGGGAUACCCGCUGAACUUAAGCAUAUCAAUAAGCGGAGGA